This 5740-nucleotide long non-coding RNA is filed under the name Homo sapiens (human). RNAcentral's name for it is "HSALNT0304469". Lineage: Eukaryota; Metazoa; Chordata; Mammalia; Primates; Hominidae. The record is from RNAcentral.
UGACUGUCCUACUGCUGAACAUCUAGUCUGGCUUUCAAGGCAUUGCAAGACCUGACUCCCUCUUCAAACCCUGCUUAUUUCCCCCUGAACCCUCUGAGCAGAUGCUCUGGUUGGCCUAUCCAAUAGUCUUCCCCAGCUCCAAUCCUUUUCUUCCUACUGACAGAGUGUGAAUUCCCACAGUUAAGGCUAAAAAUGCCAGAUACACACUUUUUCAGCCUUCUUUGCAGGUAGGGGUGGGCAGGGCCCCCAUUUCUGGCCAAUGAGGGGAGGCCUUCUGGUAAGGGGGGGUUCUGAUACCCCCUCAAUCAAAAGAGAGACACCUAUUUCCUGUCUUAGCAUCUGCCACUCCCUUGCUUCCUGCAAUUGGAUGUGGUUGAGUGGUUGUUUCUGGAGCUGCACUGGCCGUCCUGUGGCCUGAGGUGACAAAUCUGUGGAUUAGAAGCCACCAUGCUGGCAGAUGAUGGGAUGGAAGAUGACCGGACCUGCGGCUCUCGAUGGGACGGCUGAGCUGUUGCACCAGCGGAGCCCAGCUGCCCUAGGCCUCCCAUUACAGGCCGUCACAGGACACCAUCGGGGGCAGGCCAUGGCUGGCCUGGUUCACUCUUUCUCAUGACUGAUUCAUUCAUCAUGGUCAGGAUGGACUCCCCACUGGCCGCCACAUAUUCCAGGUUUCUGCAGACCUCAGGCUUCGGCUUCUCAUAUCCAACUCCUGAUACCCAUUCAUUUUUCUCUGGGCUUUUCCAAUUUGUGUACACUCUUUAAGGACCAGUUUGAGUAUCGACUUUCCUCUUCCAUGAAUCUUUGCAUACGGCAAUUGGCUACAUUAACUUCUACUUUAAGUACUGAUAUGUUUUCUAUUUUGUGACAAUUCAUCUUCCUUCCCAUCUAGAUUUUAAGCACCUUAUACCACCUUUGUUUCAUUGCAUCUCCCAGGAUAGUGAUGGGAUAAAUAAGUGCUCAAUAAAUCACUGACAAUUGAUGGUGUGAUUGAUCGCUGAUCUAGGACAACUACAACUGAAGCAACAUUUUAGGUCUUCAUUGAUUUGCUUUGCAAUUUCCUUCAUAGAUGACUGGAACAUAAAUCUUCAGUUAGGGCCAGUUCAAAGUUUUCCUGACUCAAAAUAUUGCAUUCAAGAUUGGUAUUUUAUUAACCAGAGUUGAUCAAUUCUGUCCUCAGAUCUGUGUAGAUCUCCAGAGAGAUAGAAAGGAAAAUGCUAUUGGAUGGAGAAAAAUUACUAAAAUAGGAACGAGAACAAUAAAACAACAUGAACACUAGCUGAUAAAGACCCUGAAUGAAAAGGACCGAAAUGAAAUCAGUUGAACUAAGACCGGAGACGGGGGGUCUUCUGUCCUCCGCUCCCUUCUCCAACCAUCCCCUCUGCAAUCUCCCACACUGCAGGCAAAGUUCACGGAAGUCUGUUUAAAAGACUUGUGAACUUUAUAGGGUAAAUGCAUUCUACUUAUAUAUUUAAGUCGUGGGAGUUUCAAGAUAGCUCAAAAUACUUGCUAAUUUUCUAACUGGGGUCUGAAUUUUCUGGUUCUUACUGAGUGAACUUUUUGUGCCUACUUAUAUUCUGUUACCUGAGGCAAGGGUCAUCUUGCUAUGCUUUUAUAUCUUUUUCUUAAUUCUCGCCACAUGUUGUGUCUCUUAGAUCCAGAUUUCAGUUUUAAAUUUGGAACCGGGGGAAGGGAGCUCACAUUUAUUGUGGGCCUACCAUUUGCCAGCACUUUAUAUAAGAAUCACAUUUCAUCCUUCCAGCAGCCGUGUGAGGUGGAUAAUAUUGUUCUCAUUUUAUGGAUGAGAAAACUGAGGCUCCAAGAGGUUAAAUACCCAGCACGAAGCAACUCUGGCGUUAAUCCCCACGGCAGAAACUUUUCAGUUCUAUGUGUCAGAAAUUCAGCUCACACGGGCUCAGCAAAAGAGUGGUUUCCUGAUUCCCAUAACUGAGAGAUGUCGGUACUUCCGACCCAGCAGGACCUAGAGGCUGAGAUGCUGUCCUCAGGACUCGGCCUGGCUCUGUUUCACGCUCCCUCUGUCCCCAGGUGGGCCCUUCCUUACCUCGUAGGGUCCAGAAGGCUCCCAGCACUCCCAGUUGACAUCUCACAUUCUCAGCUAUCCCAGCAGGAAGAGGACUUCUCUCAAUGUUCCACCAAAGGUCCAGAACAGAAGCUCACUGGCCUGGCUUAGACACCAUGUGCUGUGGUCUGAGUGUUUGUGCCCCCGUCCAAAUGUAUAUGUCAAAACUUCACCCCCUAUGUAAGAGUAUUUAGGGGCGGGGACUCUUGAAAGGUGGCAGUGUCAUAAGGGUUGAGGGUUGAGCACUCAUGAAUGGGAUCAGUGCCCUUAUAAAAGAGGCCGCAGUGAACUCUUUUCCCUAUGUGAGAACACAGUGGAAGGACAGCCGUCUAUGAACCAGGAAUCAGGCCCUCACCAGACACCAAAUCUGCUGACAUCUUGAUCCUUAGGCUUCCCAGCCUCCGGAAUUCUCUGACCCAGGGACAUGCUCCUCCUUGAGGAAGCGCACUGCAGGCAGAUCCAUCAGACCUACCGUCAGCUCUGAGGUGCCUUCUCUUAGUCCUUCGUCUAUACAGAUUGUUGGCCACCAUAUUUCGCCCAGGCUGCAGUGGAAGAGCCCUCGGGCUCUGGAGCCUAUGACCUGGGUGAGUGUCUCCUCUUAAUACCACCUCUCAACUCUUGACCUCCGGCAAGUUACUUAACCUCUCUGUGCCUCGGUUUGCCUUAUCUGUAAAUAAAUUGAGGUAGGUGAAGCCCUUAGCACAGUGCCAGGGGCAUAUGCAGUGUGAAAUAAAUGUUAGCUAUUAUUAUUAUUACUUCCUCUGGGCAUGGUGAAAAUGUAAUGAGCUAAUGCACAGAAAGCACCCAGAACAGUGACCAGCAUGGAAGUUCAUGCUUAGUCAAUGUUUGUUGCUGUUAUACCUUAGAAACCAGCAGGACAUACCAAUUGUCACUUCCUGGCCAGGCUCACAACCUUAGCUGUCUGUUCAAUCAACCUGACGAAUUUUUAAAAUAUACCCAUCAAUGGGCCUCAUCCUAGCUCAGUGGGUCUCAGCUUUGGCAGCUCAAUGCAAUCACUUGGGGAGCUUUAAUAGCUAUGGAUAGCUAAGCUACAUUCCCAGAAACUCUCACAGAAAUGGCCUGUAGUGUCCUGGCCGGUGAAAUGUGUCAAAGCUUCCCAGGGGUGGCCAGAGCUGAGAACCCUGUCUUAGGAGGAUCUAAUUGGAAGAGAGGACAUCAUAGAUAAUAUAAUAGUGACAUCAUAGGUGACAGAGGAAAUGCCCGGUGGCUCUGAGACCAGCAGAGAGGUGCAGGCAACUCUCUGGGGGUCCAAGACAUGGUCCCUCGAGGGCCUCCCGGUGGGUAUUGAGCCAAGGAGCAGCCAGUGGUGAUCACAGACUCCAACCAAGGGCUGGGCCCCUCCAGAGUGAGCAGAGCCCUGCUCAGCCAGCUCCUGCAAAUAUCAAUCCUGCAGGAAGGGUUGUGGGGAGAAGACACUGUUCCAACCAACUGACCUGCUGGAUUGGAGGAUCUAGAAACCUACACGUGACUCUGGCCAAGAUAAAAUGCUUCAAGAUUCCUGGACUGGGAAUCUCACCAUCGGUUCCCCUGGUUCUCAGACCCUUGGGCAUGAGCUGAAUUGCACCAUGGCUUUCUGUUUGUCUGGGGAACGCUGACUAAUACAAGGCAUCUCAACUUGGGCAUUACUGAGGCUGUAGGGUCACGGUAAGCCCUGAAAUUGCACAUGUCUGUGCACUGUUAUGGGGAGAAGAUCCACAAGGUCACUUAAUCCUCCAAAAGGUGAAGAGCUGUUGCCUUCAGGAGCCCCAGGGAGAAAAACCAGGCUUGAGGGUUUUAGGUAAACCAGCCGCAGAGCCCUGAACCCUAUCUUCACAGAGCACUGAUUCCAGCCUCUCCCACUGACAGAAACUGUUGGGUUUAUGAUUUAUGUAAGUGUCCUAAUCGCCACUGAAUUGAUCAAGGCAAAGGGGUAUUUAAGGAAUGAAACCUGAACUGCUCUGCAAGGUGAGGGUUAGGAAUAUCUUAUACUUCCCUGCAGCUGGAGCAUGCAUGAAGUUAAUUAUUGCAUACAACAGCAUUGUAAAAUUUGGAGAAAGAGCAUAGGGCUCCAAGAAGUAUUGUCCUCAAAGUUACAGAACUGGUGACCUAAGACAGAAGCCACCCAUUAACCACUGGACCUUGGACAAGUUGCUGUCUUCAGGAUUCAGAGUCCUCAUCUAUAAAAUGGGAUUAAUAGGGUUGUUGUGGACGUUCAAUCAUAUAAUGUGGACAUUCAAUGUGUAAAGAGUUUACAGAGUGAAAGAUGAAGUCACUGCUUGAUAACUGUUAGUUUUUAUUACACUACUGAUAAUUACUUUAUUAAAUGUUUCUGUCAGUGAUAGUUGGGGAAAGGAGAAAUAAUAGAAGAUACUAUUAGAACUAAGCCUACAAUUGAUAUGUAACUUGCAGCUUGCCCUGCUGAGCAAAAAGGCAUAAGGAUAACAAUUCUUAGAACCAAGGCUACAAUUGAUACGUAACUUGUAGCUUGCCCUGCUGAGCAAAAAGGCAUAAGGAUAACAAUUCUGCCAAGGGCUCCUUCUGCGCCCCUCCUCACAUGCACUAACUGAAUUGCUCCUCUCAACAACCCAUCCUGUGAUUGAGGAGGCUGAGACUCAAAGAGAUUAACUAAUUUUCCCAACUCACUCCUCAGUUUGGAAAAGUGGAGGCACGACAUUAAUUGGACUCUGUCGUAAACCGCUGGUCUCUGUCUCUGGAGCAGGGGUGUGUCUGGACCACAGAGCAUGGGCAGAGAGGGCCUGCUCCUUCAUCAGUGAUGAGUUGUGUUGGGUGAGAGUACUCUUGGAUGCACAGGUCACCAGACUCAAUUCCCCUCCUUUCCUCAUUAGAAGCUUCCGCUGAAAUCUACACCUUGGCAGGAUGCAGAGCUAGGAAGUUCAUAAAUCAGAGAAUCGCUGAGUGACAAACUGCAAAAAAGGAAGUGACACUUCCCUAGGAGAUGUGGAGAUGCUGUUUGUGAACAAAAAAGCGAGAGGGACUUGGCCCCAUGUCUGCAAAGAGACAGGUGUGCUUCUGCAGGGGGGCCUGCGCCGACCCAGGUCUGCAACCCUUGUGUUACCUAUCCAUUGCUGCGCAAGCUCGGCUUUGGCCCCACAGUGCACGCCUAUCCUGUCCCCCAACCUCAUCACUCCCAGCUGUGUCUGCUCACUGCUUCCUGUCACCCCGAGUAUGCAAUUCAGACUCAGUGUCCAUGAGGCCCUCUUAUCUGGGAUUGACCAUUCUCCCUCCUCUUCCCAAACUACUUGCACCGGCCACAUCGGCUUCCAGAGCUCUGCUGGGAAACACAGUGUGCUCCUGCCUCAAGGGUUUGCUCAGGUGUUCCCUCUGCUGCAGGGCUCCUUCUCCAGUUCUUUAAAGGGCUGAUUCCAUCCCAUGGUUCAGAUUUCAGCUCAGCUCUUAGCUCUUCAGAGAGACCUUCCCUGACCUCCCAAUUUAAAUUAUACUCUGAAGCCAAUCACCAUGACGUUGACCUUUGUAAUUUUCUCCAUUAAAGCCUUCAAAAUCUUCACCUGCAACUAUUUCAUUAUUUCUUCCUCCUCUGCCAGAAGGUAAACUUCCAGAGACAGAGGCCAGCCUGUCCUGAUCACUAGGUGGUCCAGAGUUAGAACAGCAACUGGGUCGAGUGGGCCCUCUGAAUCCUCACAA